GACGAACGCUGGCGGCGUGCUUAACACAUGCAAGUCGAACGGGAUUUAGUAAACAGAAGCCUCGGUGGAAGAUUACUAAUGAGAGUGGCGAACGGGUGAGUAACGCGUGAGCAACCUGCCUAUGACAGUGGGAUAGCCUCGGGAAACCGGGAUUAAUACCGCAUAAAAUCGUAGAAACACAUGUUUUAACGGUCAAAGAUUUAUCGGUCAUAGAUGGGCUCGCGUCUGAUUAGCUAGUUGGUGAGAUAACAGCCCACCAAGGCGACGAUCAGUAGCCGGUCUGGGAGGCAGAACCGCCACCAUUGAACUGGGACACGGUCCCAAAUCCUACGGGAGGCAGCAGUGGGGAAUAUUGCACAAUGGGGGAAACCCUGAUGCAGCGACGCCGCGUGAACGAAGAAGGUAUUCGUAUCGUAAAGUUCUGUCCUAUGGGAAGAUAAUGACAGUACCAUAGAAGAAAGCUCCGGCUAAAUACGUG
This 478-nucleotide ribosomal RNA is filed under the name uncultured bacterium. RNAcentral describes it as "partial 16S ribosomal RNA". It matches the Rfam family "Bacterial small subunit ribosomal RNA", at positions 28 to 507 of the family's 1533-position model. The record is from RNAcentral.